GCCUGUUUAUCAAAAACAUGUCUUUUUGAUAAUAAUUUAAAGUUUAAUCUGCCCACUGAUAAUUUAUUGAAGGGCUGCAGUAUUUUGACUGUACAAAGGUAGCAUAAUCAUUAGUCUCUUAAUUGGUGACUUGUAUGAAGGAUUGGAUGAGAUAUAAACUGUUUUAAAUAUAAAAAAAAAUUGAAUUUAAUUUUUUAAUUAAAAAGUUAAAAUAAAUUAAAAAGACGAGAAGACCCUAUAGAGUUUUAUAUUAUUUUAACUUUAAUUUAUUUAUAAAUUUAUUGAAUUUAAAUUUAAAAUAAUAUUUUAUUGGGGUGAUAAAAAAAUAAGAAAAACUUUUUUUUAAGUUAACCAUAAAUAAAUGAAUAUUUGAUCCAUUAAUAUUGAUUAUAAGAAAAAAUUACCUUAGGGAUAACAGCGUAAUUUUUUUUUUUAGUUCUUAUAAGAAGGAAAGUUUGCGACCUCGAUGUUGGAUUAAGAUAAAAUUUAA
RNAcentral lists this ribosomal RNA (490 nucleotides) under Actias sinensis. Its description in RNAcentral is "partial 16S ribosomal RNA". The stretch from base 1 to 162 matches the Rfam family "Archaeal large subunit ribosomal RNA", at positions 1890 to 2096 of the family's 2987-position model. The record is from RNAcentral. Lineage: Eukaryota; Metazoa; Arthropoda; Insecta; Lepidoptera; Saturniidae.